GUGUUGGGAGGCUGUUGAAAGUUCCCUUCCGGGGGUUCUUGAGCCAUCGGUGAGAGACCACUCUGGAGGAGCUAGAAUUCUAAUGGCGAUCCUUGAAUCAGGACGCUUGACAGUUUCAGGCGGGCAGUUUGACUGGGGCGGUCGCCUCCUAAAAGGUAACGGAGGCGUGCAAAGGUUCCCUCAGGCUGGACGGAAAUCACCCGUAAAGUGUAAAGGCAAAAGGGAGCUUGACUGCAAAACCUACAAGUCGAGCAGGGGCAAAAGCCGGCCUUAGUGAUCCAACGGUACCGUGUGGAAGGGCCGUCCCUCAACGGAUAAAAGUUACUCUAGGGAAACAGGCUAAA
This 344-nucleotide ribosomal RNA is filed under the name uncultured organism. Its description in RNAcentral is "bacterial LSU rRNA". It matches the Rfam family "Bacterial large subunit ribosomal RNA", at positions 2144 to 2486 of the family's 2925-position model. The record is from RNAcentral.